CGAUCGUAUAAGAGUUUGAUCAUGGCUCAGAUUGAACGCUGGCGGCAUGCCUUACACAUGCAAGUCGAACGGCAGCGCGGGGCAACCUGGCGGCGAGUGGCGAACGGGUGAGUAAUAUAUCGGAACGUGCCCUGGAGUGGGGGAUAACGCAGCGAAAGUUGCGCUAAUACCGCAUACGAUCUAAGGAUGAAGGCGGGGGAUUCGCAAGAACCUCGUGCUCCUGGAGCGGCCGAUAUCUGAUUAGCUAGUUGGUGGGGUAAAGGCCUACCAAGGCAUCGAUCAGUAGCUGGUCUGAGAGGACGACCAGCCACACUGGAACUGAGACACGGUCCAGACUCCUACGGGAGGCAGCAGUGGGGAAUUUUGGACAAUGGGCGAAAGCCUGAUCCAGCAAUGCCGCGUGAGUGAAGAAGGCCUUCGGGUUGUAAAGCUCUUUUGUCAGGGAAGAAACGGUGUGGGCUAAUAUCCCGCACUAAUGACGGUACCUGAAGAAUAAGCACCGGCUAACUACGGUGCCAGGCAGCCGCGGUAAU
RNAcentral lists this ribosomal RNA (533 nucleotides) under uncultured Janthinobacterium sp. RNAcentral describes it as "bacterial SSU rRNA". It matches the Rfam family "Bacterial small subunit ribosomal RNA", at positions 1 to 524 of the family's 1533-position model. Lineage: Bacteria; Pseudomonadati; Pseudomonadota; Betaproteobacteria; Burkholderiales; Oxalobacteraceae. The record is from RNAcentral.